RNAcentral lists this long non-coding RNA (533 nucleotides) under Homo sapiens (human). RNAcentral describes it as "TFPI2 divergent transcript (TFPI2-DT)". The record is from RNAcentral. Lineage: Eukaryota; Metazoa; Chordata; Mammalia; Primates; Hominidae.
GAGGAAUUCCCCGCCAAGUUGAAAAGUUGAACCUGCCUCCCAAACUUUCUCCUGUAGUCCAGACGGGGACGCCCUGAGGGAGCGUUUGUGUCAGUAAUGGGAAAUCUGCAAGCUAGACGGAAAUGACCUGCUAGUGAUUGCGCUGUAAAGAAGCCGGAAUCCACCUCUUGAAGGCAUGAAGUUCAGGUGCUGGACACUUUUUGAUUGUCUUUCGCUCAUACAAAAAAAAAAAUGAACCACUGGACACAAUGGCUUCUGCUAGUAAUCCCAACACUUUGGGAGGCUGAGACAGGAGGAUCGCUUGAGGCCAGGAGUCAGAGACAAACCUGGGCAACAUAGUGUGAUUCCAUCUUUACAAAAAAAAAAAUUUUAACUUAGCUGGGCAUGGUUGUGUACACCUGUAGUCCCAGCUAUAUGGGAGGUUGAGAUGGAAGGAUUGGUUAAGCCCAGGAGUUUGAAUUUGCAGUGAACUAUGGUCGUGCCACAGCACUCCAGCCUGGAUGACAGAGUGAGACUCUGAAUCUGACUAAAAA